Long non-coding RNA from Acinonyx jubatus (cheetah), 2478 nucleotides. RefSeq lists it as uncharacterized. NCBI's taxonomy places the organism in Eukaryota, Metazoa, Chordata, Mammalia, Carnivora, Felidae. The transcript is spliced from 3 exons. The record is from RefSeq and is a predicted model, not a curated record.
UCAGAAGUUUCUUCCUUAAAUUGUAUGAGCGAAUCAGAAAGAUUUUGACAAAACUUAACUGCCUGUAUCCAGUUGAGCCUGAUCUAGUGCAGUCUCCCUGGAUCAGUUCAAUGUCUACUCUCUUUAUUGCCCCUUUAUACAUCAGUAUGGAACACGGACAUGUUUAGAUGACGAGCAUAUGGUGAUGUCUUUAUACACUGGUAUUACCAUCUUUCCCGCAAAUGACUGCAAUGGCCUCUUAACCCUAUCUUGACUUCUCUUCCCUGCCUUUUCCAAAUCUUUCUUGGUACCACACUUAUGUCAUCCUAUUAUACCUGUGGAAAUAGGUAUAUACCUCAGCAAAAAGUGAGCUGCAAAUUCCUCUCAUCCCUGGACACAUCAUUUUUUGCAAUGUGACUGUGCUGCCUCCGCCAUCAAAAGGUAGUCUAUUUCUUCACUUCCCUGGGUCUGGGCUGGCUUAAUGACUUGCUCUAACCAACAGAUGUCAGGUGAAGUGACAACAUGGACUUCUGAACCGAGGCCUCCAAGACCACAUGGAAUUGCCUUCUAGGCACAGGAGGAUGAAAGUGUCUGAAGCCCUCUCUACUGAGCCACCUAGACCAACUGGUGAACAGCAUCACCACCUGGUCGACAUAGGAGAAAGGCAAUCUUAGUUCACUCAAACCCAUCAAGCCUGCAGGUGACUACGAAGCGGGAGUCACUCCAAGCAAAUCCAGUGAAGAAGCCCAAGAUGACCUAAUCCAAAGAAUUGUCAUUAAUGGUUGUGGUUUUAAAGCCACUAAAUUUGGGGAUCUAAUCCUGGAUUUCACACUGCAAUUCGUUCUCAUGUUUCCUUGUGCUCUUCCAAUCUGAGAUACAACCGUGUGCAUAAACAGACUAGUCACCUCCUGAGACUGCAGCCUUGAGAAUUCUUCAGGUCCAGAAGUUGAAUCUUGACUAGUCAACCUGACCAGGAUCAUUCAAUGACUAAAGAUAGGAACGAACUACAUGGACCAAUUAUGGCCAAUGAGGUAUGAGAGGAAACACGGGGAGGGUUUAUGGACUUUCCUUCAUUCUUCUAGGGACAUAUAUCAAAACAUUACUGUUUCCAGUUUGAGGGCACUGUUGUGUAAGCAUGUGGUACUUAGCAUCAUAGCCAUCCUGAGACCACACAUGGUCAAUCUUAUGACCCCAAACUAUCACCCUGGGAAGAGCAGAGCAUAUGAAUGUAACGAGCCCACCAUGUCUUUGGUGAUAUUAAACUGCUAAAAUAAGCACACAAUCUCUGUACUACCUAUCAUGUGCAAUAAUAAACCACUUACCAUCAAGUUAUCAUUACACCAUGUACAAUGUUAACCUAUUAAAAAUGAAAUAUUUCGAUCUUGAUUUUUACGGAUGAGCUGAGGAACUAAGAACUAUAACUGUAAACUGUUGGCUCUAUUGUACUUCUAAGCAGAAAAAUUAUUUUAAAAUAUAUUUUAAUUGAAAACUAGUACUCCAUAGUUGGGAUGUACGGCCAUAAGAUUCAUAGUAAUCUCUGCAGUAAUGCUGAAGACAUAUGAGAAGUAUAUUUCACUCUAAGCUCUGAGUAUUUUAAUAACUUAGAAGUUUACUACUUCUUGCCUAUAUCCUUUGUAUUUAUCUGGUUAGUAAAAUGCUCCAUCAAAAAUAAAUUCUUUAUCAAAAAUCUUUUUAAAUAUAAACACAAAGAUGAAGUACAUAAAAAGUUUUAAAACAAAUAAAUGAUUACACCUAAAGGCUUUGUUUUUCUUCCUCCUAAUACUGAAAUGCCAGUAGGAAAAACAAUUUUACGGCUUCUUUAGAUGAAAUAACUUUUCCACAAAAAUUAUGAAAAUUUUCUCAGCACUAAAUUAAAUAGUUGAAUACAUGCAAUCACUACGGGGUUGGACAAAGCAUUGAUUAAAUAUUUGUAAGAUAACUGCUUUUAAGUCUUCAAACUCUAUAAUUUACCAACCACCACCCAACUUAAAGCAAACCAAGAUGCCAAAGACUACUUUUGUAAAUAUUCCUAUCUCUAUCAACCUUAUCUAAGAAUGAAAAUAUUCAAAUCCAAGUGGUUAAUUCACUCAGCAUGUAUAUGAUGAGCUCUAGUAUGUCUGCUAGAUGUUGGGAACAAUGGUAUCAAUAGAUACUAUCCUGUACCCGUUUAAUGAAAUAUAAAUUUUUAAAUGGAAAUGAACACUAUAAAGAACAAGGACACAGCUCAGGGACACAGCUCAGAGACAGUCAUUACAAAAGAUCUAAGCUGGGGCACCUGGAUGGCUCAGUCGGUUGAGCACCUGACUUCAGCUCAGGUCAUGAUCUCCCGGUUCGUGGAUUCGAGCUCCGCGUCAGGCUUUGUGCUGACAGCUCAGAGUCUGGAGCCUGCUUCAGAUUCUGUGUCUUCCUCUCUCUCUUUCUCUCUCUCUGCCCCUCCCCUGCUCACACUCUGUCAAUCUCUCUCUCAAAAAAUAAAUAAAACAUUAAAAAAAAGAUCUA